GGACAUCGGACUUCAACAUCGACCUGAGGGUUCUCUACUAACAUCAUCGUCUCCGUGUGGAAGCAAGAUGAAGGCCAGCGUCUUCGUCCUCCUGGCGCUCAUCAGCGUCGUCAUGGUGACAGCCAUAGCUGACAAGGCUGCUGACCUCGAGAAGCUACAAGAGAUAAGCGAACUCCUGCAAUCACAGGGAGCAGCACAGGCGCCAGGCAACAGCAAACCUUUCAUCACUAGUGCACCUACUGGUGUACCUACCAAAUAGACAAUUCAGUCACGUGCCCUGUCGACGAUUGGACAGCCAAUGAAUCGCUCAACGCUGACGUCACGCAAUAAGUUUCAAUAAAACUGUAGCAGCACUCCA
Molecule: long non-coding RNA, 358 nt
Organism: Pomacea canaliculata
Lineage: Eukaryota; Metazoa; Mollusca; Gastropoda; Architaenioglossa; Ampullariidae
Exons: 2
Source: RefSeq, a predicted model, not a curated record